Small nuclear RNA from Bombyx mandarina (wild silkworm), 155 nucleotides. The record is from RefSeq and is a predicted model, not a curated record. NCBI's taxonomy places the organism in Eukaryota, Metazoa, Arthropoda, Insecta, Lepidoptera, Bombycidae.
AUACGUACUUGGCGCAGGGAUACCGUGAUCAUGCAGGCGGUUCCCUCAGGGUGAGGCUGCUCCAUUGCACUACGGAGUGAUAGACCCUUGCGAUUAUUUUUAUUUUUUAUAAGUUUCACUUCUACCAUGUGUGAUUUUCAAUUUGCACACACACA